AUGGCGCCGGGAUUCACCAGGUUUGAUUUGGAGAAAUUCGAUGGCACGGGUAACUUCGGUCUAUGGCAGACAAGAGUCAAGGAUAUUCUAGCACAGCAGGGAAUCUUGAAGGGUUUGCAGGAGAUGAAGCCGGCCAAGGUUGACAACGAUGUGUGGGAGGAUAUGCAAGUGCAGGCGGCCGCUACCAUACGGCUUUGUCUUGUGGAUCAGGUCAUGUAUCAUGUCAUGGACGAAGAUACUCCUAAGGGAAUUUGGGACAAGUUGGCAAAUCGUUAUAUGUCCAAGUCAGCGACCAAUAAGCUGUAUUUGAAGCAAAAGUUCUAUGGGCUGAAGAUGCAGGAGGGGUCGGAUCUUGUGGAGCAUGUGAACGCCUUUAAUCAAUUG
RNAcentral lists this ribosomal RNA (384 nucleotides) under Triticum aestivum (bread wheat). RNAcentral describes it as "partial small subunit ribosomal RNA". The record is from RNAcentral. Lineage: Eukaryota; Viridiplantae; Streptophyta; Magnoliopsida; Poales; Poaceae.